This 426-nucleotide long non-coding RNA is filed under the name Equus caballus (horse). RNAcentral's name for it is "lncRNA (ENSECAG00000040225.3)". The record is from RNAcentral. Lineage: Eukaryota; Metazoa; Chordata; Mammalia; Perissodactyla; Equidae.
UAGAACGGGGCCUGGCACCGAGGAAGCGCUCAAUAACUGUAAGGAUCGUCUCUUUAUUCUCAGUGUUCUGAAGUGUGAUGAUCAAUAUCUGCAUUGUUUUCCUGUUUGUUGUGCUAGCCUUUUGGCACGCAUCUGGCUGGGCUUGCAGGCUUCCUUUUGUGUCCCUGGUGAUGAGCUUCUUCAGCUCCCUUCCUCACUGCCUGUGAGCUCAGCAGCAGGCUUAGAGCUCUCCUGGGCCUUGAACAUUCUCCCUCUGCCAAUGUUUCCUAAUUCAAAGAUGACCCGACCUUUGGAAGAGGCGCAGAGCUCCUGAGGUGAGGUUUUGCCUUGACCAACGCAGUUGAAUGGAUUCACGUUCAAAAUAGCUCCUGGAAAUCACCAUUCUACUUUCUGUUUCUAUGAAUUUGACUACUCUAGGAACCUCAU